RNAcentral lists this long non-coding RNA (7696 nucleotides) under Triticum aestivum (bread wheat). RNAcentral's name for it is "long non-coding RNA (TAES_LNC027350)". The record is from RNAcentral. Lineage: Eukaryota; Viridiplantae; Streptophyta; Magnoliopsida; Poales; Poaceae.
GUCCGCGUGGACACCGUCCUCGAGUCGCCUCCGCAGCAUGCCCAUGAGGUUUUAAAUCGUCCGCCUCAUCGUCUUCACCAACUGGAUCCAGCAGGGAGCCACCACAACUUCGACAUCGACCUCGUCUUCAUCUUCGGCCACCAGAGCUCUGCCGCGUCAAUCCACUGCACUGCCUCUCCUAAGCUUUCGCCGGGCCGCCGUAUGCCUUCGCGGUGAGCUCAUCAUCCGAUUCCCCUCUUUCUUCCUUUGUUUUAGUCGUCGUAGCCCGUCGUUCCACCGCCAUGGCCGGAGCUCGCGAACGCCAUAUGCGCCCAGCCGCCGUUGGCUGCGCCCUAGGCCAUGCACGCACGCGCGCCCGUUCUCCACGCCCGCGCCCUCUGACUCCCGUCGCUCCUUUCCCUGCCAGCCCCGGCCGCGCUCCUUGCCCGUUGCUGCCAUUCCUCUGUUGUUCUCUCGCUGCUGCUCUUGCAUACUGCUGCUUCUCUGCCUACUGUGCUGCUGCGUGCUGCUCUAAGCUGCCACUGCUUCUGCAUGACGUGCUGCCGCUGCUACUAAUUACUACUGCCGCUGCCGUGCGCUGCUUGCUGCUGCUGGUGGCCAUGGCCAUGGCCAUGGCUAGCAUGUGUGUGCGCGUGCUGUGUGUGUUGAGUGCGUACGUGUUGUGUGUGCGUGCUCUGUGUGUGUGCAGCAUGUGUGUGCGCGUUGUGCAUGCGUGCAGUGUGUGCGUACAGUGCGUAUGUGCGCUGAGUGUGUGGCCGCGCCCACCACCGGCCUCGCCCGCCUUCGGCUGGCCUUGCCGUGCCGCUGCUGCCACUCCCUCUUGCUGCUCUUCCGGCUGCACUGGGCUGCUGCUCCGCUGCUACAGUAAUGUUCAGUUACUGUAGCAGUAGCCAGCUUUGCAACUUUAACACUAACGAGCCCUCUUGACAGCCCCUAAACAACAACUAAACAAAAGUUAAUAUGAGUAAAAUUCAUAUGGGCCUGUAGUACACUUGACAGGGUUCAAUACAAAAGUCACCUAGAUUAAUUCCUAUGAAAAUGACAAAAGUCUAUGUUCAGUUAACAGAAAAGGCUGAAAAUAGAGUUAUUGUGUUAGCUACUUUAGAGCAGAAAAUAAACAGGAUACAGGGUUCUAACAGAGAUGCAAUUGACACCAUCCUGUAGAUCACAGAAAAUUGGUCAAGAUUGGUAUUAGGUACCAAUUCAUAAGAUGGGCAGAACACUAGUUAUAGCCUCUGGAAAACAGCCAAGUGAGGUUUAAAGACUGAACUAUUCUCAGACUUAGCCAAUUUUCAGGAUUUCCAAAUAAUUAUUUAAAUCUUCGAAAAUUCAUAGAAAAUAAACUAUAGCUCGGAUCGAAAAACUUUCUACAUGAAAGUUGAUCAGAAAAACAAGACGAAUCUGACCGUGCCAUCUGUUUCCUUGUCAGGACCCUCUAUGGAGGCGAACCCGCAACUUUUUGCCCGUUUCCGGUAGAUGAAUAGUGCAUACGUUAGCAUAGCAUGCUUUGUGUUGCAUAUAUUAGCUGUGUAUUUAUUUGUUUCCUUCCCAUCUUCUCUCUCGGUAGAUCUCGGUAGUGACACAGUCCCCGAGACCGACGCAGCUCCGGAGAUUGAUGACACCAUUGAUGACCCUGCCUUUGCCGCAGAGCAACCAGGCAAGCCCCCUCCCUUUGAUCAUCCCGAUAUCGUCGAUUCCAUUCUAUCAUGCUUGAAUUAGAUUUUGCUAUUGUUAUUGUUUGCUCCUAUUCUGAUGCAUAGCUUGCUUAUUGUUACCUUACCUACUUUCCUAAACUGCUUAGUACAGGUUGGUUAGUGAUCCAUCAGUGACCCCCCACCUUGUCCUUGUUCCCCUACUUCAUCAUUGAAGACCCGAUCAACGGGAUUGAAGACCAGGCCCCAACACCGCACAUCACUUUCCCCUUAGUUGCUCGACACUACUGGGUUACUAUCGAGUGCCGAGGGUGAGACUUCUACAGCACUUCUGAUGUUAACCCUGUAGUGUAGCUAUUCGGUCGUGGUCAUCGAGGGUGAUUUCCUAUUUAACCACUUCCGAAACGACUCUGUCAUGCAACCCCUCAAGUGUGGACCUCGAGGGUGGUCCCUCUUUCAUUCACCUUGAUGAUUACAUCGAGUGGAAUUCACCGGGGGUGAUUCCUCGGGUUUUCCCCUUGAUGUUUGGACACACGGAUACUUGGACUUUACAACUGUUACUUGAAAAGGCGGGUCGACCCUGAGGGGUACCCGCGAGUGAUGUGGAGACGAGUUGACCUGGAGUGUGCCCGAGAGUUGAAUACGAGGCAUGGCCGGGCAUUCUUACCCCCUGCCGCAAGUCCUCGAGACGGGGCGACGGGGUCACAUCUUUCGUGAGUCUCUGCUCGUGACCGCACUACCAACACACUAACGGUUUGGAUAUUUGAUCCAAGGGGCCUCUGGCCUGAUAGCACUAACCAUCAUGUGGGCAUAGUAUGGGCGUUCUGCGUCGUAUACAUCAGCCGAAGCUUAAUAGGAUUCAGCGACUGAGCGGCGCACGCCGGGUUGGACUGGUAAGCACCUGCCUUUUUUAAGGAGGUAGCUAGGUCUGCUCACCAGCCACCCACGCAACAUGCAGGAGUUCCCGGGGAGAUGGCCCAUGACCCCUGGGGCAUAGAUUUAGCCCGGCGUGCUGACCUCUCUGUUAAGUCUAGGUCGGGUUGCGGCAUAUUGUUUGGCCGAGGCCGGGCAUGACCCAGGAAAGUGUGUCCGGCCGGAGUUAAUCGAGCAUGGUGGGUAAGUUGGUGCUCCCCUGCAGGGAAGAAAACAUCUAUCGAUAGCCUGUCCUACGGUAACGGACACUUGGAGUUGUAUCCCGAUCGAUACAACUAGAACUGGAUACUUGAGAUGAGACUUGGAUAUGAGAUGAUAACUGGAUAGUAUGGCUCUGGGAUUGCUUUCUCGCAGGGAGUCGAGAAAGGAUCUCUAGCCGAGGUAGACAACACUACUACUACUUUACUUUAUGCUACUCUACUCCCUCCUAUUGCUGCAAGAUGGUGGUUUCCAUAAGAUGCUAGUCUUCGAUAGGACUAGGCCUUCUCUCUCUUCUAGCAUUUCUGCAGCCCAUUCCACAUAUACAACCUUCCUUUGAUAAUGUUGCAUAUGUAGUGUAGAUCCUUGCUUGCGAGUACUUUGGAUGAGUACUCACGGUUGCUUUGCUCCCCCUUUUCCCCCUUUCUUUUUCUUUCCGGUUGAUGCAACCAGAUGUCGGAGACCAGGAGCCAGAUGCCACUACCGAUGCCUACUACUACGUGGAGACCAUUGACGACCAGGAGUAGUUAGGAGGCUCCCAGGAAGUAGGCCUUGCCUUUUCGAUCGUAGAUGCUUUUGUGCUAGCCUUCUUAAGGCAAACUUGUCUAACUUAUGUCUGUACUCAGAUAUUGUUGCUUCUGCUGACUCGUUGUAUUCGAGCUUAUGUAUUCGAGUCCUCGAGGCCCCUGGCUUGUAAUAUAAAGCUUGUAUUAUUUGAAUUUGUGUCUAGAGUUGUGUUUUGAUAUCUUACAGUGAGUCCCUGAUCUUGAUCGUACACAUUUGCGUGUAUGAUUAGUGUACGAUUGAAUCAGGGGCGUCACAAGUUGGUAUCAGAGCCGACUGCUUGUAGGUAGCCCCCUUUCCAACUCCUUGGCCGAAGUUGAGUCUAGUCACUGAAAAACUUUUACUAACAUUGGUUGUGUGUCUUACGGGCCCACGUUGCCAUUGGGUGGUAUUAUGAUCUUUUACUCCUCGUCUAUACUCUGGGAUUCUGAUCUAUCUUCUAUUCGGGUUAAACAUUUUACUAACUCUGACAUUGGGUUAUCGUAACCACUUCCUCCCGGAGAGCCCCUACAUUACCGAUGAUCGCUUGCUUCACCAGAUGAUUCUGCGGAUACUCCUCGAUGUUUCCCGAGACCCUGUUCCCACUGCUUUGCAGUCCUAACCACCGAUAAGUCCCCAUGGAUACCAUCCUUGCCAUUUGUACCUUCAUCCCCAGUUGCUCUUGUUGUUACAAGUUACCCCUAACACUCUCCGUUGUUCCGAGAAUCCUUUGUGUCUUAUGCUUUGCAGCUUCUUUUCGCACUAUGGAUAACUCACUUACCCGGGGUCCGUUCCUCCCCAGUUGUUCACAUGCUUUCCAAAAUACUUUGAAAUGCUAUCUGAUCUCCCCAAAAUCCUCCGUGGCCUUUUACUUUUGAUUCCCCUCGCCUGCUUGUAUUAUGGUUAAUUCCAUAUGUCUAGCGAUAUUUAUUAAAAUCCUUUGUGAUUGUCACUCUGUUCCUACGGAUUCAACGUAUGUGCGACUACUCACAAUCAUCAAUUCAUCCAUAGGAAUUUACUUUCCGGCUCAGACAUCAUUCCGGAUAUGAGCUGGUUCUUGCCCAAUCAAGAUUCGAUUGGUGUGCCUCUAAGUCUGUUCAACCUAUCCAUCUUCGAUCGGAGCAUCUGAUCUGAUACACCGAUCUAGAAAUCCAAUUUCUUUGUAUUUAAGCAUCGAAUUAUUCAGAUGUUUCCAUAAACCAAUGCCCUUGCAUUUCUUCUUCUUCUGGUUGGAUGCUAAUACUCACAUCAACUCCGUCGUGAAUCGCCAGAUCCAUUGUUGGAUUGUAUCCGACAGUGUCCAUCGCAUUCAAAAACCUCGAGAGUUCUUCCCCUUAUACAUGAUGCCUUUGGCAAAUUGUAUCCUCUCCUUACAUUCGAGUUUGUGUUAUUUACUCCUAAACACUGCGGUGUAGGUUCCUAAGAUGUCCCAAUGGGUUGAACCUAUGCUUUUCCUAAUCCAUGUGAACUCGAAAGUUAUGCGAGUCAUACUCUUCUGGUGCUUCACCAGAUAAAUCUUUAACACUACAACUUCAUCAAAAGCAAGAAGUGAAUGAAAGGUUAUGCAUUGAAGAAGUGGGAGUCGACCUUGAACUUAGUGUUCAUGCCCAUGGACCCGAUGUGGAACUUAUCAUGGAAGCUUCUUAUGAUAAUAAUAAUCCCCUUGUUAUAAGUUCAUCUGGUAUCUAUGUUUGGUCCUUUGCAAUCGUGGUUCUGACCAUGAUUGUUCCCCUUUGAUUCCAUUUCUCGGACUAGUUAAAGUACUUGUCUUCUGCAGAUGACUACACAUGUCCAAACUCUAUUAUGCCCUAUCUUUGAGUAUUACCCUCUAGUAUCUCGAGGAUAUCAUGCAUUGCACUACAUCUAAUGAACUUUUGAUGAAGUACUACCUUACCCUGUCUUAGUCACUUCAUGGGUUCUGGGUUGUCUUCAACCGAGACCACCAAACAAUGAAUCUAUUCUGCUCAGUGAUUCAGCACUCCUAGUACUUUGUUGCUGGGGAGUUGGAUACUCCAUCACAUCAUUCCUAGCCUGAUCGGCUAUAUUUUUAUCGUGUCAACUUUUAACUAUGCUACCUGGUCCUUAUGCCCGGAGCAACUUUCGACGAUGAGCUAAGCUUACAUUGAUCUUUCUCGUCAUAUCAUUUCACCUUGAACAGAAAGUUUGAUUUCGACUUUGUGUCGUACUCAUGGUUCCAAUAGCCUUUCGCUUCGUCCUUCCUGUUACUUGAUGGCAUCUUCAUAGAGCCUCUCGACAAAGGCGUCUUGAUCAGCAUCAACAUUUUGACUUCUGUUGAAAUGGCAAUUGAAUUCAUGGUUAGAAAUACCAUCCUUGACCUUCAAUGAUUUGAGUUAUCAUUGACAACCCCCCUUGUCUUCUUUCCAACACAUGUUUGGUCAUGUAUUGGUUAUACCUUGGACUACUUGUUAUUCCUGCAAUUGUUCUUUGAGUAUUUCUUGUGAUCUUCAACUCCAAUCCCUACUUGGAACACCAUGUUAAUGCUACCUCUAAGCAUGGCUGUGGUAUUCCGAAUAUCAACAAGAACAUUGGAAGCACAUUGUCGAAUGUUUCUUGAUCUAUUAUCCAAACACCGUUGUAUGUGUAAUAUCAUGAUUCUUCCCUCACCCCCUUUAUCUAAAUGCUUUUGAACUUGCUGUCUUAUCAUGGAUAUCAUACUCUGCUUGUCCUUGGGAAGGAUAUAUUCCUGAUAAUAGUGUUUAAACACACUUUCCUUUCCAAUGUUCUGAUUAAUCUAAUGAUCACCUUUUCUUUCCAUUGUUUUGUUUAACCUUUCUUGUGGUUUGUGAGAUCUAAGCAGUAAUAGUUCCCUACUUAUGGAAACACCUCGGUGUACAACUCUGUCAGUAAGACCCUGCUACUAUUGUUGAUGAUGUUCCGAACCACCAACGGACGAGAACUUUGCCUAUUGGUCCACCUCGUCUUACGAGCAGGAAAAUAGUUCUCUUCGUCCCUCGCCCUUGGUACCAACGUUGUUGGCAACAUAACUGACAGUCUAUCAUCUGACAUGCCUUGCUAUGACCCCCCUUUCUACUUUUAACCCACAUGGUGGGCCCAUAACCCACAGGUCCUAGGAUCAGAACCUUACUCUCCUGUAUAUCUUUGAUUCCAAAAUAUUCUUGCAUUUGGAUUCGUAUCAUGUCACGAGCCACCUUUCGAGAGAUGGUCUAUUCCGAUGCUCUGAACCCCUUUGUCACACUUUGGUCAGGUAUCAAUCGUUUGCCCAUUUGUUUGAAACUUCCUAUUGUACCUUCAUACUUUGCUCUCGAUGUUUUAUUAAGUUUCAACUCGAGAGAUACUUCUGCCUCAUUUCCCGAAUUGUUCACCAGAUAAUUAACCCUAUAAGGUUCAGUUCUCCCGAAGUUACUCUUUACUUCCCCACUUAAAUCUCGGGACGAGAUUUCUUGUAGUGGAGGAGAUUUGUAACACCCCAGUGUCAUGUUACAGUAAUCCCCAGUUAAUGGUGCCAUGUCAUCAUGUUACUGUUGCUAAUCUUCAGUUGAUCCAAAUCAUGAUUCAAAUUCAAUUCCAAUCUAAAGUCAAAAAUUCAUAUUUGUCAGAUAUGAAAUCUAAAAUGUUCAUCUUGUGCCAAAUAAUCCCGUAACUAAUAUUGGUAGUGAAACAACAUUUUUACAAAGUGUUUGAGUGCAUUAAACUAGCUAAAAUAGUGCUUAAAACAUUUGUUUAAAUGCUUUUUAAAUAGUAAACAAAUAUAAACAUAUUUUAUUAAAGGGGCAAGUCAUUUGUGGUAGUUAAUUUAAUAAUACUAAUUUAGGGGCUAGUGUUGUAUUUUACAAAAAUAAUGAAAUAAAAAAAUAGGGAAAAUACAAACUUUAGAAAAAAGCCCACAACCACCUGCCCCUGGACGUAGGCCACCCAACCGAACCCCUCCCUUUGUCGUCUACCCCGCUACAGGAAGACGACCGAGACGACCCGAGCCGAGUCCUAGCCGGAUCGCCUCGCCGGCAAACUCCCCCCGGUGGAUAAGAUCGCCACGGCCCUCGCCUCCUCGAUCCCCUCUCCCACUCGGCCCCCACUCAUUUGCUCUCUCUCCCCUCAUCUAACCACCGCUCCCCUCCUCCAGAUCCGCCCGCUGCUGACCAUGCUACUGCGAUGGCCGUCAUCACCUCUGCUCGUGCGCGUGGACACCGUCCUUGAGUCGCCUCCGCAGCGUGUCCAGGAGGUUUUCCAUCGUCUGCCUCAUCGUCUUCACCAACUGGAUCCAGCAGGGAGCCACCACAACAUCGACAUCGACCUCGUCUUCAUCUUCGGCCACCGGAGCUCCGCCGCGUCAAUCCACUGCACUGCCGCUCCUAAGCUAUCGCCGGGCCGCCGUGUGCCUUCGCGGUGAG